UUAAGUUAGAAAGGGCGCACGGUGGAUGCCUUGGCACUAGGAGCCGAUGAAGGACGGGACGAACACCGAUAUGCUUCGGGGAGCUGUAAGCAAGCUUUGAUCCGGAGAUUUCCGAAUGGGGAAACCCACCACUCGUAAUGGAGUGGUAUCCAUAUCUGAAUUCAUAGGAUAUGAGAAGGCAGACCCGGGGAACUGAAACAUCUAAGUACCCGGAGGAAGAGAAAGCAAAUGCGAUUCCCUGAGUAGCGGCGAGCGAAACGGGAUUAGCCCAAACCAAGAGGCUUGCCUCUUGGGGUUGUAGGACACUCUGUACGGAGUUACAAAGGAACGAGGUAGAUGAAGAGGUCUGGAAAGGCCCGCCAUAGGAGGUAACAGCCCUGUAGUCAAAACUUCGUUCUCUCCUGAGUGGAUCCUGAGUACGGCGGAACACGUGAAAUUCCGUCGGAAUCCGGGAGGACCAUCUCCCAAGGCUAAAUACUCCCUAGUGACCGAUAGUGAACCAGUACCGUGAGGGAAAGGUGAAAAGCACCCCGGGAGGGGAGUGAAAUAGAACCUGAAACCGUGUGCCUACAACAAGUUCGAGCCCGUUAAUGGGUGAGAGCGUGCCUUUUGUAGAAUGAACCGGCGAGUUACGUUAUGAUGCGAGGUUAAGUUGAAGAGACGGAGCCGUAGGGAAACCGAGUCUGAAUAGGGCGCCUUAGUAUCAUGACGUAGACCCGAAACCAUGUGACCUACCCAUGAGCAGGUUGAAGGUGCGGUAAGACGCACUGGAGGACCGAACCAGGGCACGUUGAAAAGUGCUUGGAUGACUUGUGGGUAGCGGAGAAAUUCCAAACGAACUUGGAGAUAGCUGGUUCUCUCCGAAAUAGCUUUAGGGCUAGCGUCGACAUUAGAGAUUCUUGGAGGUAGAGCACUGUUUGGGUGAGGGGUCCAUCCCGGAUUACCAAUCUCAGAUAAACUCCGAAUGCCAAUGAAUUAUGGUCGGCAGUCAGACUGCGAGUGCUAAGAUCCGUAGUCGAAAGGGAAACAGCCCAGACCACCAGCUAAGGUCCCAAAAUAAUUGUUAAGUGGAAAAGGAUGUGGGGUUGCACAGACAACUAGGAUGUUAGCUUAGAAGCAGCUAUUCAUUCAAAGAGUGCGUAAUAGCUCACUAGUCGAGUGACCCUGCGCCGAAAAUGUACCGGGGCUAAAACAAUUUACCGAAGCUGUGGAUACCUUUAUAGGUAUGGUAGGAGAGCGUUCUAUGUGUGAUGAAGGUAUACCGUGAGGAGUGCUGGAACGCAUAGAAGUGAGAAUGCCGGUAUGAGUAGCGAAAGACAGGUGAGAAUCCUGUCCACCGUAAGACUAAGGUUUCCAGGGGAAGGCUCGUCCGCCCUGGGUUAGUCGGGACCUAAGGAGAGACCGAAAGGUGUAUCCGAUGGACAACAGGUUGAUAUUCCUGUACUAGAGUAUGUAGUGAUGGAGGGACGCAGUAGGCUAACUAAAGCAGACGAUUGGAAGAGUCUGUCUAAGCAGUGAGGUGUGAAUUGAGUCAAAUGCUUAAUUCUAUAACAUUGAGCUGUGAUGGGGAGCGAAGUUUAGUAGCGAAGUUAGUGACGUCACACUGCCAAGAAAAGCUUCUAGCGUUUAAACAUACUCUACCCGUACCGCAAACCGACACAGGUAGUCGAGGCGAGUAGCCUCAGGUGAGCGAGAGAACUCUCGUUAAGGAACUCGGCAAAAUGACCCCGUAACUUCGGGAGAAGGGGUGCUGACUUAAAGUCAGCCGCAGUGAAUAGGCCCAAGCAACUGUUUAUCAAAAACACAGCUCUCUGCUAAAUCGUAAGAUGAUGUAUAGGGGGUGACGCCUGCCCGGUGCUGGAAGGUUAAGAGGAGUGCUUAGCGUAAGCGAAGGUAUGAAUUGAAGCCCCAGUAAACGGCGGCCGUAACUAUAACGGUCCUAAGGUAGCGAAAUUCCUUGUCGGGUAAGUUCCGACCCGCACGAAAGGCGUAAUGAUUUGGGCACUGUCUCAACGAGAGACUCGGUGAAAUUUUAGUACCUGUGAAGAUGCAGGUUACCCGCGACAGGACGGAAAGACCCCAUGGAGCUUUACUGCAGUUUGAUAUUGAGUGUCUGUACCACAUGUACAGGAUAGGUAGGAGUCUAAGAGAUCGGGACGCCAGUUUCGAAGGAGACGCUGUUGGGAUACUACCCUUGUGUUAUGGCCACUCUAACCCAGAUAGGUGAUCCCUAUCGGAGACAGUGUCUGACGGGCAGUUUGACUGGGGCGGUCGCCUCCUAAAAGGUAACGGAGGCGCCCAAAGGUUCCCUCAGAAUGGUUGGAAAUCAUUCGCAGAGUGUAAAGGUAUAAGGGCGCUUGACUGCGAGAGCUACAACUCGAGCAGGGACGAAAGUCGGGCUUAGCGAUCCGGU
This 2413-nucleotide ribosomal RNA is filed under the name Streptococcus pneumoniae. RNAcentral describes it as "bacterial LSU rRNA". It matches the Rfam family "Bacterial large subunit ribosomal RNA", at positions 3 to 2424 of the family's 2925-position model. Lineage: Bacteria; Bacillati; Bacillota; Bacilli; Lactobacillales; Streptococcaceae. The record is from RNAcentral.